AUUCUAUCAUAUUUCUUAUCAAGUCAUCUCUUCCGAGUCUUUUUCUCUCUUUCUUCUGAAAAUUGUGUAUCGAUUUACCUAAAUGCGUGUAUUAAUAUAUUGGAUAACUAUAUUGUCGGGUGUGUGUCGACUAGCUAUAUACUAUAUAUUGGUGAACAGCAUAUUAUAGGAGCUAUAUAUCGAUUUAUUUGGAGGCAUAUAUUAGGUUGCUACUAUGUGUGUAUCAAAGAAACUUAUGGUAUGUAUCAGAAAACCGAUAAGUAUGUAUCGCUUAAUAAAGAAGAAAGAAGAUACGCUGAAUUUUUUUAUUUAAUAGAAAAAAUUUCUUUAUUUGACUUCUGGGUUUUCUCUUUAAGAUGCACAUAAUAGAAAACGUGGCAAAAAAAAAGGAGUCCCGCCCUAUAUGAUGUACUAUGGUGCCCAUCCCAUAUGAUUUUUGUUCUUGGAUUAUUUUGUAAGUGAAUGUUGGAGUUUUCUUUUAUGACACUCCAUUUAGUGUGACACACGCCGCUGCUACUAAUCUACAUGCAUUAAUGUUAUGUCCAAACACACUUGAAACGGCUUGAUCAAUGGGACACACAAGUUUGUUAGUCCUUA
This 597-nucleotide long non-coding RNA is filed under the name Phoenix dactylifera (date palm). RNAcentral describes it as "long non-coding RNA (PDAC_LNC002306)". Lineage: Eukaryota; Viridiplantae; Streptophyta; Magnoliopsida; Arecales; Arecaceae. The record is from RNAcentral.